This 464-nucleotide ribosomal RNA is filed under the name uncultured bacterium. RNAcentral describes it as "bacterial SSU rRNA". It matches the Rfam family "Bacterial small subunit ribosomal RNA", at positions 69 to 546 of the family's 1533-position model. The record is from RNAcentral.
UACAAGGGAGCUUGCUCCUGAAAUAUUUAGUGGCGAACGGGUGAGUAUCACGUGAGCAACCUGCCCCGAAGAUUGGGAUAACACCGGGAAACCGGUGCUAAUACCGAAUACCCCUCACACAUCGCAUGAUGAGUGAAGGGAAUGUUUUUUCGCUUCGGGAGGGGCUCGCGGUCCAUCAGCUUGUUGGCGGGGUAACGGCCCACCAAGGCUACGACGGAUAGCUGGUCUGAGAGGACGAUCAGCCACACUGGAACUGAGACACGGUCCAGACUCCUACGGGAGGCAGCAGUGGGGAAUCUUGCGCAAUGGACGAAAGUCUGACGCAGCAACGCCGCGUGAGGGACGAAGGCUUUCUGAGUUGUAAACCUCUUUCGACAGGAACGAUUGUGACGGUACCUGUAGAAGAAGCACCGGCCAACUAUGUGCCAGCAGCCGCGGUGAUACAUAGGGUGCAAGCGUUAUUC